Molecule: ribosomal RNA, 405 nt
Filed under: uncultured bacterium
Lineage: Bacteria
Description: bacterial SSU rRNA
Rfam family: Bacterial small subunit ribosomal RNA
Source: RNAcentral
UCGGGAAUAUUGCGCAAUGGAGGAAACUCUGACGCAGUGACGCCGCGUAUAGGAAGAAGGUUUUCGGAUUGUAAACUAUUGUCGAUAGGGAAGAAAAAAGACAGUACCUAUCAAGAAAGCUCCGGCUAACUACGUGCCAGCAGCCGCGGUAAUACGUAGGGAGCAAGCGUUAUCCGGAAUUAUUGGGUGUAAAGGGUGCGUAGACGGGAUGUCAAGUUAGUUGUGAAAUACCUCGGCUCAACUGGGGAACUGCAACUAAAACUAACAUUCUUGAGUGCAGGAGAGGAAAGUGGAAUUCCUAGUGUAGCGGUGAAAUGCGUAGAUAUUAGGAAGAACAUCGGUGGCGAAGGCGACUUUCUGGACUGUAACUGACGUUGAGGCACGAAAGUGUGGGGAGCAAACAGG